This 551-nucleotide ribosomal RNA is filed under the name uncultured archaeon. RNAcentral describes it as "bacterial SSU rRNA". It matches the Rfam family "Archaeal small subunit ribosomal RNA", at positions 326 to 879 of the family's 1478-position model. The record is from RNAcentral.
CGGGGUGCAGCAGGCGCGAAAACUUUGCAAUAGGCGAAAGCCUGACAGGGCUAUCCCGAGUGCCAUCCGCUGAGGAAGGCUUUUACCCAGUCUAGAACGCUGGGGGAAUAAGGAGAGGGCAAGUCUGGUGUCAGCCGCCGCGGUAAUACCAGCUCUCCGAGUGGUGUGGAUGUUUAUUGGGCCUAAAGCAUCCGUAGCUGGCUAAGUUAGUCCCUUGUUAAAUCCACCGAAUUAAUCGUUGGAUCGCGGGGGAUACUGCUUGGCUAGGGGACGAGAGAGGCAGACGGUAUUUUCGGGGUAGGGGUGAAAUCCUAUAAUCCCGGGAAGACCACCAGUGGCGAAGGCUGUCUGCUAGAACGCGCCCGACGGUGAGGGAUGAAAGCUGGGGGAGCGAACCGGAUUAGAUACCCGGGUAGUCCCAGCUGUAAACGAUGCAGACUAGGUGUUUGAACGGCCACGUGCCGUUCUAGUGCCGCAGGGAAGCUGUUAAGUCUGCCGCCUGGGGAGUACGAUCGCAAGAUUGAAACUUAAAGGAAUUGGCGGGGGAGCAC